Molecule: ribosomal RNA, 556 nt
Filed under: uncultured bacterium
Lineage: Bacteria
Description: partial 16S ribosomal RNA
Rfam family: Bacterial small subunit ribosomal RNA
Source: RNAcentral
UGGGGAAUAUUGCACAAUGGGCGAAAGCCUGAUGCAGCAACGCCGCGUGAGUGAUGAAGGCCUUCGGGUUGUAAAGCUCUGUCUUUUGGGACGAUAAUGACGGUACCAAAGGAGGAAGCCACGGCUAACUACGUGCCAGCAGCCGCGGUAAUACGUAGGUGGCAAGCGUUGUCCGGAUUUACUGGGCGUAAAGGAUGCGUAGGCGGAUUUUUAAGUGAGAUGUGAAAACCCUAAGCUUAACUUGGGGACUGCAUUUCAUACUGGAAAUCUAGAGUGCGGGAGAGGAGAAUGGAAUUCCUAGUGUAGCGGUGAAAUGCGUAGAGAUUAGGAAGAACACCAGUGGCGAAGGCGAUUCUCUGGACCGUAACUGACGCUGAGGCAUGAAAGCGUGGGUAGCAAACAGGAUUAGAUACCCUGGUAGUCCACGCCGUAAACGAUGAGUACUAGGUGUAGGAGGUAUCGACCCCUUCUGUGCCGCAGUUAACACAAUAAGUACUCCGCCUGGGAAGUACGACCGCAAGAUUAAAACUCAAAGGAAUUGACGGGGUCAUAGCUG